AUGAGGCUGGCAUGUUUGGUUGUUGCUGGGUGUUGUGUUGGUAAGAGUCUGAAGAUGCUGGUGCCUUUUGUCCUGAGCAUGCAGGCAGAGCUUGGCCGUGUUGUUUCAGAGUGGGACAUGGAAGGAAACAUUGUUCACCAUUGGUGGCAAUACAUGCCUUUGAAGUUUCCUGCCAUGGCUGCUAAAUUCAAUUCUCUCAAGUGGCAAAUUAUGAAUAUUUGUCUGAACAAUGCAGUUGCUGAACAUUCCAAUGUUUGCCGAUGUCUGACCAUUCAAUUCUGUCAAGCAAGAAGCAGAGGCUACUUAGAGGAUGCAAAUAUGUCAUGUGAAGAACCGAAAUGGAAAUGGAUAGCUGAAGGAUUCAUUGCGACAAAACGGGCUCAUGAUAUGGUGCUUGACCUUAUAAUAUCUCUAUCAGAUGAAGAGAAUUUUGCCACAGUUUUAAACCGUCUCUGCAAUCCUUUGCCAAACAAGAACCAUCGACUCUCGCUGCAAUCUUGUGGGUUUGAACAUAAAUGGGCAAUCCAUACCAUCACAGGAAGCAAGUUACAUAUCCGCUCAUGGAAUGUGUUUGGAGAAACAAAGCGGAUACCCCCACUAGUGGACUCCCAGUCUUUGCGCGUGUUUGACAUAUGUGGUGGGGUUAGAAAAUUGUCAUCAAGCAUAGCCCUGCUACUGAAACUGGUGCGCCUAUUCAUUGACCAAGACACCGUGUUUCCUGGAGAUAUGUUUGGGAGAAUGCAAGCCCUAGAGGAAGUGUCAGAUAUCUGUAAAGUUGACAAGCCUGAGAAAUUUUUGGAAGGCCUUGGACAUCUAACCAGACUGAGAAAGAUUUUGAUGGGUGAAUUAUUGAAUUGUCCUGAUGAGGAUAAUAACAGAUUCAAGCUGCGAGAGGUGUUCGACUAUAGUAUUUGGUGUGGCGAAGAAAUGGGUAUAAAAUUUGCAGCAGGCAUCGAACAUCUUGCAAGCCUUGUGUACCUCCUGGUCCAAACUUUUUAUGAUGAUGCAACUCGGGAGGAGGUCUUGAAGAUGAGAUGCUUAAGAGUUACGAGGAGAGGGCAAAGGAGGGGGAUAGGCGUAGGGAAGCAGGUGAGUAUGUGCCUGCCCUGA
RNAcentral lists this ribosomal RNA (1110 nucleotides) under Triticum aestivum (bread wheat). RNAcentral describes it as "partial small subunit ribosomal RNA". The record is from RNAcentral. Lineage: Eukaryota; Viridiplantae; Streptophyta; Magnoliopsida; Poales; Poaceae.